GCCCGGUUAGCUCAAUCGGUAGAGCGUGAGACUCUUACGAGUACUCCACAUCUCAAGGUUGCGGGUUCGACCCCCGCAUCGGGCU
This is a non-coding RNA of Claviceps maximensis, 85 nucleotides long. The record is from the annotation of a GenBank genome assembly. NCBI's taxonomy places the organism in Eukaryota, Fungi, Ascomycota, Sordariomycetes, Hypocreales, Clavicipitaceae.